CCCCUCUCAGGGUUGUACCUGGAGAAUUUCCAACACUCUACCAGUCUCGACUAUGGGAGGGAGAGUCAAGCAGAGACACACCCAUUCCAUUCCUAGCUUGGGUAGUGGCUAGCGAGUGAAAGGCAAUCUGCUACAAGU
This 138-nucleotide small nucleolar RNA is filed under the name Ornithorhynchus anatinus (platypus). The record is from RNAcentral. Lineage: Eukaryota; Metazoa; Chordata; Mammalia; Monotremata; Ornithorhynchidae.